AGAACGAACGCUGGCGGCGUGCCUAAUACAUGCAAGUCGAACGUGAAAAGGGGCAACCCUUAGUAAAGUGGCGCACGGGUGAGUAACACGUAGGUUAUCUGCCUUUUAGUGGGGAAUAACACAGGGAAACCUGUGCUAAUGCCGCAUAUGUAAGUAAUUACAAAGAUGGCCUCUAUUUAUAAGCUAUCGCUAAAAAGAAGAGCCUGCGGCCUAUUAGCUUGUUGGUGGGUAAUGGCCUACCAAGGCUACGAUAGGUAUCCGACCUGAGAGGGUGAUCGGAACGACACUGGAACUGAGACACGGUCCAGACUCCUACGGGAGGCAGCAGUAGGGAAUAUGCGCAAUGGGGGAAACCCUGACGCAGCAACGCCGCGUGAGUGAGGAAGGUCUUCGGAUUGUAAAACUUCUUUUAAUUUGGGAAAAAUGUCCAUAUGGCUAAUAUCCAUGUGAGUGAUGGUAACCAAAAGAAUAAGGACCGCUAACUUCGUGCCAGCAGCCGAC
Molecule: ribosomal RNA, 501 nt
Filed under: uncultured soil bacterium
Lineage: Bacteria
Description: bacterial SSU rRNA
Rfam family: Bacterial small subunit ribosomal RNA
Source: RNAcentral